Long non-coding RNA from Pieris napi, 3972 nucleotides. RefSeq lists it as uncharacterized. NCBI's taxonomy places the organism in Eukaryota, Metazoa, Arthropoda, Insecta, Lepidoptera, Pieridae. The transcript has 2 exons. The record is from RefSeq and is a predicted model, not a curated record.
AAUUAACAAAAAAAACAAGAAAUAAUAGGAAUAAAUUGAAUUUUAAAAAUUACAUAAUUAAAUAAAUUGUUUUGUACUCAAUUCAACAUCAACUUAAUUUCAUAGGUAGCCCAAAUCGCGCAAUUAUGCUCCAUAUUACUUCUCAUCAUGUACUACUACUCUCACAGUAGUGAUAUUCGUGUUUCAGUUUAUACCCAAGGGUAUAAUUAGGGGCCUCGUUAAUCUGGAGAGGCAAAAACAAAUCCCUUAUAUUCUGUAUUUAAUGGUUCUAAAACACAUGUUGAAAUAAUCUCAUAUUUUAAUUUUCGCACUUCAUUUCAACAGCCUGGUCUCUAAGUCGACGAAGAAACAUAACUUCGUGGCAAUACAAUUUGUUGUGAUUAACCCAUUAUAAAGCAGUGUUUAAAGCUCCUACCGCCUCUGAAUUAACAACUUUUUCGGGGACUGGAACUUAAAUGCUAAUGUCCUCAUCAGUUAAGGUUCUCAGAACAUGCAAGUCAGUUAACCAGUUCGAGUUCGAAGUUUUUAUUGUUAAUUGUUACAAUAUUUUGAUUCUCAUCCCCAAGAGCGACGCUGGAACGAUAAUAAUGGAUGCAGUGUGCGCCUUUGUGCCUACACUUUUGUAGUUUUGAUACUGGAGAGAACCUACGUCUGCUUUCAUCUAUGUCUCUGAUGCUGGGAAUUUUUCCAUCGUCCUAAAUUUACAGGGUUUCGUUCAAGGCGGUCAAGUAAGAUGUCGUAAGAUAACAGAAGUAGACGGUAGACGAUUGUUAUUUUGCUGUAGUCUCAUUGAAGGCGAACGAUCUAGCUACGCUUGUCUUUUCCGGUUUUCGCAGACUGAGUUUGGUGUUUCUUUCUCUAUACUUACGCAUUCACUCUAAGCCGGCCAUUUGGAUAGGUGCUAUCCCCAAGUAACCAACCGUACCUCUUAAUAUUGAACUAUAAUAAAAAGUCAUUGGUAGAACUUGGUCACCGAGCAACUGCAUUAAAUAAUUCAAGGUCUGCAUCACAAACAACUUGGAUAAAGAAAUAUCUCUUCCUGUUUCUGAAUUCCUCACCAAUAUUUAAGCCAAAAAUAGAGAAAAAGGGUCUUAUAUCGGGUGGCGCAAUAGAAACUGCAUUUAUUAAGAAUAGGCUAAAAAAUAAACACAAAAGAUAUCCGCACAAAAAAAUGUCAACCCCAACCCAAGGGAUAUCACCUCUUGGAAAUUAGUCUUGCAGGAAACAUCUGUCUCGCAACCGCCAUAGAGUCAUUUGAUGUGUGACAGGUCGCUCCGUCUUGUUGGAACCAAGUCAUCGUAUUCGCUAUUCUCGAUCUCGCAAGUUCUGGAGUCAAAUAUCCCUCUAACAUCGUGACAUAACGGUCGGUGUUAACCGUGAUGUUUCGUCCUCGUGAAUCUUCAAAGAAGAAAGGGCCAAUAAUUCCUUUGCUUGAGAGCUGCCCAUACCGUUACUUUCGGACUAUGCAGUGGUUUUUGAUUUUGAUUUUUGGAUUCUCGUCGUUCCAAUAGCGACAAUUUUGUCGGUGUACGAACCCAUUUAAAUGAAAAUGAGCCUCGUCAGAAAGAAGGAUGUUGUCAAAAGUGGAAAAUCUUUUAAGCAUUUCUUCAGCAAAUGCCAACUUUGCUUCGAAGUGGGCCUCUUUUAAUUCCUGUAUUAACUGGAGCUUAUAAGGAUGCAGUUUCAGAUCCAACUUCAAAAUUAGCUGUAAACUUCGUCGCGACAAGUUUAAAGCCGCCAAUCGCUUCCGAUUAGACACUUGCGGAUAUUUUCCUACUGACACCUUCACCUUCUCAAUGUUGUUUGUGGACGUUCUUGGACGACCUUUUGCUGGUGGUUUGAACGUGGAACUUCAAAACGCUUUAAGAUCCAUAUUUUAAUUAAAUUCGCACUCGGAGCUUCAUUAAUGUGUGUUAAUCCAUAUUCAGAACAUACAUUCGCCUUGUAGAGAUCUAUGAACGACCGUUCUCGUAAAACGUGUGAACACAAAGUCAAAAAGGGCGACGCUUUUAAGUGACUCAUGGUUACUAAAACUCCACGAGUGCCACUAUCCAAUAGUGUGACCAGAUUUUUUUUGGCGAAUCUACUACUGCUUGUGGAGGUUAAAAACUACUGAAUUCUAAUGAAUUUACUGAAAUUAAAUGAAUGUUUUCUUGAUUCAAGGAUAAAAUAAUAAAAAUAACAAAGAAUGCACGAUUAAUUAAUGAAACCAAGUUUUUUAAAUUAUAUUUUUAAUAAAAAUAUUAUUUACAAAAAAAAAAAUAAUAUACUAAAAUAAUAAUAAUACUUAAAGUUAAGAUUCUUCGUCUUUAUGUUGGGUAACAUUGACACAAAGCAGUUUUGAGUACAUUAACUUGAUCAUCUUCUGUCAGGAUCAAAUCUGCUACAUCCUCCUUCCAACUGCCGUAGUCCCUCUUUUCCAUGCAUUAUUGAAGCAACAUUCUUAUUAUUAAAUCGAUUUCUAUCGUGAUUUUUAAUCAUAUUAAUAACGGAAAAUAUUCUUUCUACUUUAGCGUUUGACAAAGGUAGUGUCGUCAUUUGCUUCACAAAUCGGGACAAAAUGCCAUACUUUGGUUUGCUAUUCGCAUCACAGAUUUGGCUGAAAAAAUAUGACGCAAUGUGCACGUUCUAUUGCGCCACCCUGUAUAUUAUAUGGAAAAAUAUAAUAAUGAUUGUCAGGUGUAAAAUACUUGUACAAAGUAUUAGUAAGUUGUCAACUAAUAGCAGGAUUUUCUUGUUCUUUUUCGUAAGCUCACGAAUCACGUAAAAAUGUCAGCAGUCAUCCAGGCUCCUCGGUUGCUCUCAUAAUUCCACUGGCAAAUGUCGUACAUUUUAAAAACAUUUGGGACGUUGAGAUUUUCCGAUUACGAGAAGUUUUUUAUACAGUGCCACUCAUGUUGGCUGCCACCAUCACAGUUAUUCUCUCCUUUGAUAAUUUUCCUCCUGUACAUUUUUCACCUUUAAAUUUAAGUCUUGUUUGAGGUUAAUUUAUAAAACAGCCCGGUCUCAUCCGCAUUAAAAAUUUCAUCAUCUCUAAAUUGCCCACUUAGAGAAGGCCAAACCUUUUCUAACCAAUCGACUGCAUCACCUCAGACUUAGCUUUCUCUUGUAGCAGAGGUCCAUUCACGGGUAUUCCCAGGUCGAAGCUUGAACCUUGAACCACUGUAACAAUCCUUAUCAUGAGUGGAAGCUCGAAAAAAGGGCUUCAUCAGAGAACAGGAUGUUGUUGAACGCAUCCCGUAUUUCAUUUGCAAAUCUCAAUCUUGAUUCGAAGUCUGUUGCCUUUAGUUCCUGCACUAGAUGUAAUGUCGAUCUAGAGACUCCCAACGUCGACGAACGUUUGCGCUCCGACAUUCGUGGAUUCGCGCGUACAGACUCCCGAACUCGCUGAAUGUUUUCAUCGGUCCGUGAAACUCUUUGGCGACCACGAGGCCGCAUUUUUGUGUCGAUCCUGUUCUUUCAAAUCUUUGGAUACAUUGUUUAAUUAAAUUAGUGCUUGUACACUUACUGAUGCGCCGCAAUUCUAAUUUAGCACGAUAAAGCCGCCGAACAGUCACAUAAGAUUGAGCGAUUAUGAGAAUUCAUAAAAUGCACGGACACUAAACGCGCGCUGCUCUCCCGUGUAAUGAUUCAUGGCGACUAAAAUUACAAAGUCCGCGCUACGCAUUGCUACCGCUCCAGCGCCCCUCAUGUGGUUUAGAAAUGCGCGCGAAAUCAAAAGUGCAUUUCUCUCUGGGCCACCCUUUGGGCAACUACAACUAUGAAAAAAAUACUACAAAAUAGGUUGAAGUAAAUAUACAGGGUGUCCCAAAAGUCGACGUCAAGUCGAAAUUUUCUCAUAGGUAAUGCCACACCUUUACUUACAUUAAGUAUUUACUUACGAUAUUUGAAAAGUCUCUGAAAUCGAUGUAUAACAUAGUUAGUCAUACUUAAGAUAUUUUACUAUGGGCAUUAUACGUUUUUAAAUUUAUA